AGAGGCAUCACCAGCUCCUGAUGUCAGGGCCAGGCCCUGAGGUAGACUUUUAAUUCUUUCAGGGGAAAAAAAAAAUGUGUGAGAGACUAGGCAAGAAGCCAGGACAUCUCUUGCCACCACAGAGCUAGAAGAAGCCUGAUCUUGGACAGCUGGAGGAAGCUGGAAAUACCCGGGAAUGGAUCCCAACCUAACUGGGUUCCUCUGUCAAUGAGUCCAUCUGGUUUGGAAUAAACCCGGACGCAGAGUUUAAACAGCAGGGCUUCCCGGUGGGCUGCAGUAAAGGCUGGACUGCACUUGAAACCCGCCUCACUCUUUUCCACAUUCUGGACCCGCACCUGCGAGUUGCCCUUUGGAAGUAUUGCCUCGAUAUGGUGUCCUUGUCUCCUCAUCUCAAGAUCGUUCCCUAGAGACCCAGCAUCAGACAAGGGAACCUGAGUUCUAAGUGGAUGGACAGUUUUCCCUGAAUUGGAUCCUCAAGACCAAUGACAUGGAAUGAUCGCUGGAGAACCCAGAGUGAAGGUUGCCUUCUAGAACUCUGUUACCUUGUCUCUGUCCCUGUCUAAAUAGCAAUGUCAUUUGAACCCUUGGCUCUCUUCCUGACUAAAUAAAGAUUGCCUUUCUGUCU
Molecule: long non-coding RNA, 625 nt
Filed under: Mus caroli (Ryukyu mouse)
Lineage: Eukaryota; Metazoa; Chordata; Mammalia; Rodentia; Muridae
Description: lncRNA (MGP_CAROLIEiJ_G0005082.1)
Source: RNAcentral